This 225-nucleotide ribosomal RNA is filed under the name Triticum aestivum (bread wheat). RNAcentral describes it as "partial small subunit ribosomal RNA". The record is from RNAcentral. Lineage: Eukaryota; Viridiplantae; Streptophyta; Magnoliopsida; Poales; Poaceae.
AUGCAUGUUGUGAAAUUUGGCUACAGAUGGAACAUAGGGGAUGGGAGCAGAACCAGGUUCUAGGAAGAUAGUUGGUUUGGCACAUCCCCCCUAGCAGUCCAAUUUUGGCCUAUUUACUCUGUCCGCAAUGAGCUUAACAAAAGUGUCAAUGAAGUUUGGGACGGUCAAUGCCUAAAACCCUCUUUAACAAAAGCAUUACCUUUACUGCCGAGCCGGAUGCCCUGA